Molecule: ribosomal RNA, 534 nt
Filed under: Triticum aestivum (bread wheat)
Lineage: Eukaryota; Viridiplantae; Streptophyta; Magnoliopsida; Poales; Poaceae
Description: partial small subunit ribosomal RNA
Source: RNAcentral
AUGUGCUUAGAUGCCCAGCAACGGCUCACGUUCAAGCAUCAACAUGGGGUGGACACAUUUGCGUACCACGUUCAAGCGUCAACGGCCUGGUUGAAACCGCCAAGGACUUGCUGGAGCUGCGCAAAAACUGCAGUGUCUGGAAAGAGGGAGAAGGCGCUGAUGAAAACCAUGUGCUUGACCGGAGGGGCACAGGCUACGUCCUGCCGGCUCGGCUGGGAGCCCCGCUUCAUCGCGUACACGAUCCACACAAAGGGACCCUUGCUUGGCUCAUUCGCCACAGGAACAGACUACUACACACAGGGCCGGGAGACCAGGGUGUACCAGGGACAACCGGGCGAGGAGGCGGAGUCGUACCUUUUGGUUUGCUUUGGCUACACUUCCGAGGCGGGCGAAAUGCAUGUAAGGGUCGGCGACAAUCAUGAGCUCGACUGGCCGCUCAGAUGGAUCCUCUUUGACGCCUUCACAAGCUUCACUCUUAUUGAGGUUGAGCUCUUGGACACGGGAGAUCUAAGGAAGAACUGGGACACUUUGUGA